RNAcentral lists this ribosomal RNA (750 nucleotides) under uncultured bacterium. Its description in RNAcentral is "bacterial SSU rRNA". It matches the Rfam family "Bacterial small subunit ribosomal RNA", at positions 1 to 753 of the family's 1533-position model. The record is from RNAcentral.
CGAUUGAGUUUGAUCCUGGCUCAAGAUGAACGCUGGCGGCGUGCCUAACACAUGCAAGUCGAACGGGGUAUAUAAGCGGAAGUUUACGGAUGGAAGGUUAUAUACUUAGUGGCGGACGGGUGAGUAACGCGUGGGCAACCUGCCCCGUGCCGGGGGAUACCGCCUGGAAACAGGCGCUAAUACCGCAUAAGCGCAUACAGCCGCAUGGGUGUAUGCGGAAAGCUCCGGCGGCACGGGAUGGGCCCGCGCCCGAUUAGCCAGUUGGCGGGGUAACGGCCCACCAAAGCGACGAUCGGUAGCCGGCCUGAGAGGGCGGACGGCCACAUUGGGACUGAGACACGGCCCAAACUCCUACGGGAGGCAGCAGUGGGGAAUAUUGCACAAUGGGGGAAACCCUGAUGCAGCAACGCCGCGUGGGUGAAGGAGCGUUUCGGCGCGUAAAGCCCUGUCAGCGGGGAAGAAGAAAGACGGUACCCGACCAAGAAGCCCCGGCUAACUACGUGCCAGCAGCCGCGGUAAUACGUAGGGGGCGAGCGUUAUCCGGAAUUACUGGGUGUAAAGGGAGCGUANACGGCGAGGUAAGCCUGAAGUGGAAGCCCGCGGCCCAACCGCGGAACUGCUUUGGGAACUGUUUUGCUGGAGUAUGGGAGGGGUAAGCGGAAUUCCUGGUGUAGCGGUGAAAUGCGUANAUAUCAGGAGGAACACCGGGUGGCGAAGGCGGCUUACUGGACCAUAACUGACGUUGAGGCU